GGGCGAGAUAUCAUGGUUCAGUUCGCAAAGUAUGGGCCUAAUGCAGAGAGAAUUCAUAAAGGUAGAAUCGUGGAAGAACUCCCAAAGUCAAAGGGACGAUCAAGAAGCCGUAGCCCUAGGCCAAGGUACCGCGAGGAUUACCGGGAUAGAGAUUAUAGGAGGCAGAGCCCUAGUCCAAGCCGAGAUAAGUAUCGUGGAAGAGACUACCGCCGCCGAAGCAGAAGUGUCAGUGCAAGCCCAGAUGAUUAUGGAGGUCGUGGAAGGGGCAGGGCCAGGAGCAGGAGCCACUCUUAUGACAGGAGCUCGUCUCCCCGACGGACACCUCCUCGUGGUGGAAGCCCUGCCAGACGCACCAAUGGCAAACGGUCACUUUCCCGAAGUGUGUCACCCCAAGGCCG
RNAcentral lists this unclassified non-coding RNA (398 nucleotides) under Hevea brasiliensis (rubber tree). The record is from RNAcentral. Lineage: Eukaryota; Viridiplantae; Streptophyta; Magnoliopsida; Malpighiales; Euphorbiaceae.